This is a non-coding RNA of Salmo salar (Atlantic salmon), 54 nucleotides long. Lineage: Eukaryota; Metazoa; Chordata; Actinopteri; Salmoniformes; Salmonidae. The record is from Rfam.
AAUGCACCAAUUUGUAAGUCGCUCUGGAUAAGAGCGUCUGCUAAAUGACUUGUA